Molecule: long non-coding RNA, 1116 nt
Organism: Cornus florida
Lineage: Eukaryota; Viridiplantae; Streptophyta; Magnoliopsida; Cornales; Cornaceae
Exons: 2
Source: RefSeq, a predicted model, not a curated record
GUCGUCAAAUGUUCCCAGCCAUAGCCGGGCACCUUGCCGAGACGGUUUAAUGCCAAAUGAUUAUCUGAAUGUGUCAAACAUUAUUCUUCACUUUUCAUCAUCAUCUAGAUGGUAUAGGCGAGGAUGAAAAAGGGGAAGCAAUUGUCUUGCCAACACGGUACCCGUGGGAAGGAAGUGACCGAGAUUACGAGUAUGAGGAGGUUACAUAGUCUAACAUCGUCGGCAACUUCUACAAUUAUCCCAACAACGCACAACCACAGAGGAGUUUUUGUACCUGGAUUAAGGGAUCGAAUGUGAUCUGAGAGGGUUUAAGUGCAGCGGCCACAGAGACCUCUAGAGAGGAAAGGAAGCCAAUUGGAGAGAAAUUCCGACGCGAUUCGCAGGUCGGUGGCGUUGUAGUUCAGGAGGAACGGGUCAUCCGUUCAAGUUCGUUGGCCGUUCAUGGCGUUUUCUCUAACCAAAAAAUCAGAGAAUCGGUGGUGGUCCGGUAGAUUACAGAGAAUGGAGGGAACAAACUCUUCAUAAUUUGUGAGAUCCCCAAUCAUAUUGGAGAAUACGAAGGCAGAUUCAUUAUUUUAUUUAUUUUUUUAUUUUUUAUAUUGAUGAAAAAAACUACCGGUUUUGAUCCAAUUAUAUCAGAGGUGGCUGGUGCAGCGAUGGUGAUGGCGGCAUAGCGGCGAUGGGCUGCAGAGAAGACCGGUUCGGCCUGCUGGUGCAGCGAUGGCGAUGGCGAUGGCGGCAUAGGCCGGAGAGGACUGGUUCGGCCUACUGGCGCAGCGAUGGCGAUGGUGGCAUGGGCCGGUGAUGAGUUGUGGAGAGGUCAGUUGUGACCUUGCGGCGCAGCACUGGCGGGAAGGAGAACUCGGCUUUGAGCUUCUUGGUGGUUUUUACCUCAUUACGUGGCAGAAAAGUUAAAAUGAAUAAAUAAAUAAUAAUAUUCAUUAGUAUUCGAGGGUAAUUUCGGAAUUAAAAGAAAAAAACAGUCACGUGCUGAUCAUGUGGGCCGAAAAGUGGUCGGAAUUGAGUUUUACGGGUUAAUUUGCACAAUUUGUAAUAGUUAUGGCAUUAACUUGUUCAUUUUUGUAGUUCAAGGGAGUAAAAUGCGAAUUUGUGAUU